RNAcentral lists this long non-coding RNA (2035 nucleotides) under Daphnia magna. RNAcentral's name for it is "uncharacterized LOC116928642, transcript variant X1". Lineage: Eukaryota; Metazoa; Arthropoda; Branchiopoda; Diplostraca; Daphniidae. The record is from RNAcentral.
CUUUAUUCCUAAGCAUGACGUACUGACGCCGUCAGUAUUUACUCGUUGUCCAUUUGAAGAAAUUGAACAAAUUUGCAGCCAAAGGGGCUGCUAGGAAACGAAACAAGGCUUAGAAACAUAAUAGAUGUUUGAUUGGUGUACUUGUACUUAAUUGGCAUUGGUCUAUUGCAAGUAAAAGCUUGAUUGUAGCUUGUGAAGAAUGGGCAGUGGCUUGUAAAAGGUGUAGCAUGAGUAUGUAGCUUAUUCAUCCUUGACGAUGGCAGGUGGAAGCUUAAUGAUGGCAGGUGGCAGUUUGCUCCAAGCAUAGGGCGAUAUGGACUUGCAUAGUUUUGAAGCAGUGGAUGCUUAGACUUCUUUGAAAAUUUAAGCUCCCGGAUUUUCUGCUUUAUUUGCCUAUCACUUGGGCGCAGCAAUACUAUGUUUACCAAGACUCUUAUUACUUCGGGAAGUUGUCUUGUUUUUUGAAGAACAUCUUUAAUGGCGUGGUGAAAGCUAAAGGUGGUUUGUCGUAUUAUUUCCAAAUGUUUUGAGUUAACGACGCCCAAGAGAUGACCACUUAUCGGUACUGUUAAACCAAUUGUCCCGGAAGUGCGCUGUGACAGAUCCAUCUAUACUCAGCAAACGCUCACGAGAUGAAUCAAAUUCAUCAUGUGUAGUUGCAAAAAGGGCAGAACGGAAAUGCUGUUGUAUAGCAUGCUUCUUUUCUUUUCCCAGGUUUUUCAGCUUAAGCAGCUUAGCAUCAACGGCCUUCAAGACGUGAAAAUGGCAUAGGAUGUGGGUUGCGCUUGUGAAAUAUUUCGCAAGAGCGGCAAUCUCUACACAAUCCUUAUCGGUAAUCGUAACAGUUGUAACAGAAACGUCAUUGGUCUGUAAAGUAAAGUAAGAUUAGACUUUUGUAAAAUAGUAUGUCAAUCAUAAUAAUUAUUACCUCAGAAAAAAGUUGUAAGCAUGUUGAAAUGGAAUCCACAGUCUCUUCUUUCAUGAAAAACAUCGCGACAGGCUGCCCGUCGCCCUUGUCAUCCGCUAUUAAAAGAUGAUAUAGGGAAAAGCCAGCCUUGGUGGUUUUGUAAAGUGCCGUCUAAUUCUAUUACAUUACCGUAUGUUCUGUACAUUUGCCGCUGCUUUUCCAGCUGGACAUAAAUGGCGGCAACCUCUCCAUCAGCAUCAUCUGACUUCCCUGUCAAUGUUUGUUUGAUGUUGAUCAGGUCUUUGCUGAUUAGAUGACUGCCAAAUUUGUCUUGCAGCAGCUUUCUCACUUUAGUGGGUUGAGCGGCGGAAAGAGUCGCUUCCGCUCCCAUAUGCCUAAAAAGCGUGACAUGCUGUGCGGAAACGGGGUGGUUCUUGGACAACUUCCAUUGAGGCAACGUAAAACUUUUCCUACCUGGAACAGAACGUGAAUUGCACUCUUACUGGACAACCUUGGGGCAUCACAUUCUGGUUUAAUCUAUCAUUCUUCUUGGAGCGGUCCCGAUGUAACCCAUAAUGCGGGCAAACGAACGUUUAUCACGGCGCAGAUAGACCCAUCUACUUUCUUGAUAAAGACUAAAAUCUCCUCCACACUUCCAAAGAACUGAUAUUUGCUCAGAGAACUAAGGACGGAUAUUCUUGGAUGAAAAAUGGACACGGAAUAAGUUCCUCUUCUAGUUUUCUUCUUCCGUUUAUUUUCUUCCGUCCCUCUCUUUCCAUCCAUUGGUUCGCAGCAUAUCAAAGAUGACCUUGAAGGGAAGACCUUUACCUUCCCUUGCGAUCACGUAACAAAAUAACUUUAAGCACGGUCAGCUGGCCUCAAAGACCCUCCGACGCACGCACCCGAAGAGGUGAUUUGCCUUGUAUACCUGUCCGGCCUUACCUUUGGUUACCACAUUGAUGUCCGCCGACAUGCAUACCCUUUUCAUUGUAUCAUGCCAUUAACUAUGUGUACUGCCAUUUUCCGUGAAUGAAAAUUAAUCUUGGUCUUGUAAAUAUUCCCCCGUGAAUGAAAAUUGUAAAUAUUGUCGUGAUGUAAAUAUUGAAAAUACAAAAAUAUCAUUCUAUA